This 466-nucleotide ribosomal RNA is filed under the name uncultured bacterium. Its description in RNAcentral is "partial 16S ribosomal RNA". It matches the Rfam family "Bacterial small subunit ribosomal RNA", at positions 29 to 507 of the family's 1533-position model. The record is from RNAcentral.
ACGCACGCUGGCGGCGUGCUUCACACAUGCAAGUCGCACGGAAAGGCCCUGCUUUUGUGGGGUGCUCGAGUGGCGAACGGGUGAGUAACACGUGAGUAACCUGCCCUUGACUUUGGGAUAACUUCAGGAAACUGGGGCUAAUACCGGAUAGGAGCUCCUGCUGCAUGGUGGGGGUUGGAAAGUUUCGGCGGUUGGGGAUGGACUCGCGGCUUAUCAGCUUGUUGGUGGGGUAGUGGCUUACCAAGGCUUUGACGGUAGCCGGCCUGAGAGGGUGACCGGCCACAUUGGGACUGAGAUACGGCCCAGACUCCUACGGGAGGCAGCAGUGGGGAAUAUUGCACAAUGGGCGGAAGCCUGAUGCAGCAACGCCGCGUGCGGGAUGACGGCCUUCGGGUUGUAAACCGCUUUCGCCUGUGACGAAGCGUGAGUGACGGUAAUGGGUAAAGAAGCACCGGCUAACUACGUG